GUUCGCCGCCCGCGACCUGGCGAGAAGUCCAUUGAACCUUAUCAUUUAGAGGAAGGAGAAGUCGUAACAAGGUUUCCGUAGGUGAACCUGCGGAAGGAUCAUUG
RNAcentral lists this ribosomal RNA (104 nucleotides) under Trichopilia maculata. RNAcentral describes it as "partial 18S ribosomal RNA". It matches the Rfam family "Eukaryotic small subunit ribosomal RNA", at positions 1728 to 1831 of the family's 1831-position model. Lineage: Eukaryota; Viridiplantae; Streptophyta; Magnoliopsida; Asparagales; Orchidaceae. RNAcentral also lists the same sequence under 2 other names. The record is from RNAcentral.